This 549-nucleotide ribosomal RNA is filed under the name uncultured Glomeromycotina. RNAcentral describes it as "SSU rRNA". It matches the Rfam family "Eukaryotic small subunit ribosomal RNA", at positions 548 to 1098 of the family's 1831-position model. The record is from RNAcentral. Lineage: Eukaryota; Fungi; Glomeromycota.
UUGGAGGGCAAGUCUGGUGCCAGCAGCCGCGGUAAUUCCAGCUCCAAUAGCGUAUAUUAAAGUUGUUGCAGUUAAAAAGCUCGUAGUUGAAUUUCGGGGUUAGUAGGUUGGUCAUGCCUCUGGUGUGUACUGGUCUCACUGAUUCCUCCUUCCUGAUGAGCCGUAAUGCCAUUAAUUUGGUGUUGCGGGGAAUUUGGACUGUUACUUUGAAAAAAUUAGAGUGUUUAAAGCAAGCUAACGCUUGAAUACAUUAGCAUGGAAUAAUGAAAUAGGACGUUCGAUCCUAUUUUGUUGGCUUCUAGGAUUGACGUAAUGAUUAAUAGGGAUAGUUGGGGGCAUUAGUAUUCAAUUGUCAGAGGUGAAAUUCUUGGAUUUAUUGAAGACUAACUACUGCGAAAGCAUUUGCCAAGGAUGUUUUCAUUAAUCAAGAACGAAAGUUAGGGGAUCGAAGACGAUCAGAUACCGUCGUAGUCUUAACCAUAAACUAUGCCGACUAGGGAUCGGAUGAUGUUAAUUUUUUAAUGACUCAUUCGGCGCCUUACGGGAAAC